RNAcentral lists this ribosomal RNA (449 nucleotides) under uncultured bacterium. Its description in RNAcentral is "bacterial SSU rRNA". It matches the Rfam family "Bacterial small subunit ribosomal RNA", at positions 29 to 524 of the family's 1533-position model. The record is from RNAcentral.
AACGAACGCUGACGGCAUGCCUAACACAUGCAAGUCGAACGAGACCUUCGGGUCUAGUGGCGCACGGGUGCGUAACGCGUGGGAAUCUGCCCUUGGGUUCGGAAUAACAGUUAGAAAUGACUGCUAAUACCGGAUAAUGUCUUCGGACCAAAGAUUUAUCGCCCAGGGAUGAGCCCGCGUAGGAUUAGCUAGUUGGUGAGGUAAAGGCUCACCAAGGCGACGAUCCUUAGCUGGUCUGAGAGGAUGAUCAGCCACACUGGGACUGAGACACGGCCCAGACUCCUACGGGAGGCAGCAGUGGGAAUAUUGGACAAUGGGCGAAAGCCUGAUCCAGCAAUGCCGCGUGAGUGAUGAAGGCCUUAGGGUUGUAAAGCUCUUUUACCCGGGAUGAUAAUGACAGUACCGGGAGAAUAAGCCCCGGCUAACUCCGUGCCAGCAGCCGCGGUAAU